This 71-nucleotide transfer RNA is filed under the name Schistosoma mansoni. Lineage: Eukaryota; Metazoa; Platyhelminthes; Trematoda; Strigeidida; Schistosomatidae. The record is from RNAcentral.
ACUCAACAGGUGAGUGGAUAACGUGAUGGCUUUUCAAGCGAACGGUACUGGGUUCGAGUCCCGGAUUGAAU